This 30-nucleotide non-coding RNA is filed under the name Mus musculus (house mouse). The record is from RNAcentral. Lineage: Eukaryota; Metazoa; Chordata; Mammalia; Rodentia; Muridae.
UAGGAUAAAUUUCUUUUCAGAUUCUGUCCA